UACGUAGGUGGCAAGCGUUUGUCCGGAAUUACUGGUGUAAAGGGCGUGUAGGCGGCAAGUAAGUCAGAUGUGAAAUUCCAGGGCUCAACUCUGGAGCUGCAUCUGAAACUAUGAGUCUUGAGUAUCGGAGAGGAAAGUGGAAUUCCCAGUGUAGCGGUGAAAUGCGUAGAGAUUGGGAGGAACACCAGUGGCGAAGGCGGCUUUCUGGACGAUAACUGACGCUGAGGCGGCGAAAAGCGUGGGGAGCAACAGGG
This 254-nucleotide ribosomal RNA is filed under the name uncultured bacterium. RNAcentral describes it as "partial 16S ribosomal RNA". It matches the Rfam family "Bacterial small subunit ribosomal RNA", at positions 524 to 776 of the family's 1533-position model. The record is from RNAcentral.